UUUUAUGAGAGUUUGAUCCUGGCUCAGGACGAACGCUGGCGGCGUGCCUAAUACAUGCAAGUCGAACGCUUCUUUUUCCACCGGAGCUUGCUCCACCGGGAAAAGAAGAGUGGCGAACGGGUGAGUAACACGUGGGUAACCUGCCCAUCAGAAGGGGAUAACACUUGGAAACAGGUGCUAAUACCGUAUAACAAUCAAAACCGCAUGGUUUUGAUUUGAAAGGCGCUUUCGGGU
Molecule: ribosomal RNA, 234 nt
Filed under: Enterococcus faecium
Lineage: Bacteria; Bacillati; Bacillota; Bacilli; Lactobacillales; Enterococcaceae
Description: partial 16S ribosomal RNA
Rfam family: Bacterial small subunit ribosomal RNA
Source: RNAcentral